Molecule: ribosomal RNA, 228 nt
Filed under: uncultured bacterium
Lineage: Bacteria
Description: partial 16S ribosomal RNA
Rfam family: Bacterial small subunit ribosomal RNA
Source: RNAcentral
UGGGUGAGUAAUGUAUGGGGAUCUGCCUGAUGGCGGGGGGUAACUACUGGAAACGGUAGCUAAUACCGCAUAAUGUCUACGGACCAAAGCGGGGGACCUCCGGGCCUCGCGCCAUCAGAUGAACCCAUAUGGGAUUAGCUUGUAGGUAAGGUAACGGCUUACCUAGGCGACGAUCCCUAGCUGGUCUGAGAGGAUGAUCAGCCACACUGGAACUGAGACACGGUCCAG